Molecule: ribosomal RNA, 253 nt
Filed under: uncultured bacterium
Lineage: Bacteria
Description: partial 16S ribosomal RNA
Rfam family: Bacterial small subunit ribosomal RNA
Source: RNAcentral
CACGUAGGGCGCAAGCGUUGUCCGGAAUUACUGGGCGUAAAGCGUGCGUAGACGGUUAUGUAAGUCGGGUGUGAAAGCCCCGGGCUCAACCUGGGAAUGGCAUUGGAAACUGGUCAGCUGGAGUGUGGCAGAGGGGGGUGGAAUUCCGCGUGUAGCAGUGAAAUGCGUAGAGAUGCGGAGGAACACCGAUGGCGAAGGCAGCCCCCUGGGCCAACACUGACGCUCAGGCACGAAAGCGUGGGGAGCGAACAGG